AUUGAACGCUGGCGGCAUGCCUUACACAUGCAAGUCGAACGGUAACGGGCCUUCGGGUGCCGACGAGUGGCGAACGGGUGAGUAAUACAUCGGAACGUGCCCGAUCGUGGGGGAUAACGAGGCGAAAGCUUUGCUAAUACCGCAUACGAUCUACGGAUGAAAGCAGGGGACCGCAAGGCCUUGCGCGGACGGAGCGGCCGAUGGCAGAUUAGGUAGUUGGUGGGAUAAAAGCUUACCAAGCCGACGAUCUGUAGCUGGUCUGAGAGGAUGAUCAGCCACACUGGGAUUGAGACACGGCCCAGACUCCUACGGGAGGCAGCAGUGGGGAAUUUUGGACAAUGGGCGCAAGCCUGAUCCAGCCAUGCCGCGUGCAGGAUGAAGGCCUUCGGGUUGUAAACUGCUUUUGUACGGAACGAAAAGCCUUCUUUUAAUACAGGAGGGUCAUGACGGUACCGGAAGAAUAAGCACCGGCUAACUACGUG
This 482-nucleotide ribosomal RNA is filed under the name uncultured bacterium. Its description in RNAcentral is "partial 16S ribosomal RNA". It matches the Rfam family "Bacterial small subunit ribosomal RNA", at positions 30 to 507 of the family's 1533-position model. The record is from RNAcentral.